Molecule: long non-coding RNA, 186 nt
Organism: Etheostoma spectabile (orangethroat darter)
Lineage: Eukaryota; Metazoa; Chordata; Actinopteri; Perciformes; Percidae
Exons: 3
Source: RefSeq, a predicted model, not a curated record
AAUGCUGAUUUUUCUUGUGGUGGCGAGGACCCUAAACAAUACACAGCAUCGCCACUGUUAAAACAUUUGCGUAAAACACAUCCAAAAGAAAACGAGUUGUGCACAAAGGAAUCUACAGACAGCAGCCAAAAUGCAACAACUUCAGGUAUGGCAAAGGAAGGACAGUCACAGUUUACUUCAUUCUUC